This is a small nuclear RNA of Delphinapterus leucas (beluga whale), 107 nucleotides long. The record is from Ensembl. Lineage: Eukaryota; Metazoa; Chordata; Mammalia; Artiodactyla; Monodontidae.
GUGCUCAUUUCAGCAGCACAUAUACUAAAAUUGGAACGCUACAGAGAAGAUUAGCAUGGCCCCUGUGCAAGGAUGACCCACAAAUUUGCGAAGCAUUCCACAUUUUU